AUGAACGCUGGCGGCGUGCCUAAUACAUGCAAGUCGAGCGAACGGACGAGAAGCUUGCUUUUCUGAUGUUAGCGGCGGACGGGUGAGUAACACGUGGAUAACCUACCUAUAAGACUGGGAUAACUCCGGGAAACCGGAGCUAAUACCGGAUAAUAUUUUGAACCGCAUGGUUCAAAAGUGAAAGACGGUCUUGCUGUCACUUAUAGAUGGAUCCGCGCUGCAUUAGCUAGUUGGUAAGGUAACGGCUUACCAAGGCAACGAUGCAUAGCCGACCUGAGAGGGUGAUCAGCCCCACUGGAACUGAGACACGGUCCAGACUCCUAGGGGAGGCAGCAGUAGGGAAACUUCCGCAAUGGGCGGAGGCCUGACCGAACAACGCCGCGUGAGUGAUGAAGGUCUUCGGGUCGUAAAACUCUGUUAUUAGGGAAGAACAUAUGUGUAAGUAACUGUGCACAUCUUGACGGUACCUAAUCAGAGAGCCACGGCUAACUACGUG
RNAcentral lists this ribosomal RNA (496 nucleotides) under uncultured bacterium. RNAcentral's name for it is "partial 16S ribosomal RNA". It matches the Rfam family "Bacterial small subunit ribosomal RNA", at positions 29 to 507 of the family's 1533-position model. The record is from RNAcentral.